ACAACACAGUACCUGGAAUGUAUUGAUGGAUAACCGGAUAGAUGGAUAAAUAGAUCAUUAAUGGAUUGCCUGAAAGUUCUCAGAUCUGGAAGCUCUCUCCUCUCUUCCUCUCUUUUCACCUUCCCAUUCCCUUCUCUCUCUACCCCUUCCUUCCCCUUCUCUUCUUUCCUCUCUUCUCCCCUCCCCUCCCCUCCCUUCAUCUCCUAUCCUCUCCCCUCCUCUUUUCUUCUUUCCUCUUCUUUCCCCUCCACUCUCUUCUCCUCUUCUCUUUUCCUCUCCCCUCCCCUCUUCCCUCCUCUCCUGUCCUUUCUUCUCCUCUCCCCUCCCUUCUUCUAUAAUCCUUUCCUUUCCUCUCCUUUCCCCUCUCCUCACCUCCCCUUCUCUUCUCUCUCUCCACCCCCUCCCCUCCUCUCCAUUUUUUUCCUCCUCUCUCUACUCCCUUACCCUGCUCUCCCUCUCUCUCCUGUUCUCUCCCUUCCCAUCUUCUUCUUUUCUCUCUUGUCUUCUUCUCUCUUUGCCUUUUCUCUUGUCUUCUCCCCUCCACUCUCUUUCUCUCCUCUUCUCUCUUCUCUUUUCCUCCCAUCUCUCCUUCCCCUCUCCCCUACCCUCUUCUCUCCUUUCUUCUCCUCUCCCCCCUUUCUCUCUGAUCCUUUCCACUCCUUUCCCCUUCCCUCCUUUCUCCCUCUCCUCUCCUUUUCCCUCUUCUCUUUUUCUCUCUCCUCUCCUCUCCCCUCAUCUCUUAUUUUCUUCUUAAAAAUGGGGCUAGUGACCUGUUCCUUUAGCUACCUUGGAAGAAAGCGUUUCCAGGAUCCCUUUUCAUGCUGACUACAAAAGCCCUUCACAUGAAGUGUACCCUACAGAGACGUAGCUUCAUUAAGUCUCUAGAAUGCCAUCAACAGGGAAGGCAAUUCUGCAGACCGCUCAUUUUUUUUUUUUGAGUCUGCUUUACAGCUCAUAUUAUCUGUUGCUAUUCUCACUGAUCACAAUAAAGAAGGGGAAAGGAGAUGGGUCA
This 1012-nucleotide long non-coding RNA is filed under the name Phascolarctos cinereus (koala). RNAcentral describes it as "lncRNA (ENSPCIG00000032160.1)". Lineage: Eukaryota; Metazoa; Chordata; Mammalia; Diprotodontia; Phascolarctidae. The record is from RNAcentral.